GAGGGUGUAGCUCAGUGGUAGAGCACAUGCUUAGCAGGCACGAGGUCCCAGGUUCAAUCCCCGGUACCUCCA
Molecule: transfer RNA, 72 nt
Filed under: Camelus bactrianus (Bactrian camel)
Lineage: Eukaryota; Metazoa; Chordata; Mammalia; Artiodactyla; Camelidae
Also listed under: 1 other name
Rfam family: tRNA
About the family: Transfer RNA (tRNA) molecules are approximately 80 nucleotides in length. Their secondary structure includes four short double-helical elements and three loops (D, anti-codon, and T loops). Further hydrogen bonds mediate the characteristic L-shaped molecular structure. tRNAs have two regions of fundamental functional importance: the anti-codon, which is responsible for specific mRNA codon recognition, and the 3' end, to which the tRNAs corresponding amino acid is attached (by aminoacyl-tRNA synthetases). tRNAs cope with the degeneracy of the genetic code in two manners: having more than one tRNA (with a specific anti-codon) for a particular amino acid; and 'wobble' base-pairing, i.e. permitting non-standard base-pairing at the 3rd anti-codon position.
Source: Rfam by way of RNAcentral